Molecule: ribosomal RNA, 262 nt
Filed under: uncultured bacterium
Lineage: Bacteria
Description: partial 16S ribosomal RNA
Rfam family: Bacterial small subunit ribosomal RNA
Source: RNAcentral
UACAGAGGAUGCAAGCGUUAUCCGGAAUGAUUGGCGUAAAGCGUCUGUGAGGUGGCUUUUAAGUCCGCCGUCAAAUCCCAGGGCUCAACUCUGGACAGGCGGUGGAAACUACCAAGCUGGAGUGACGGUGAGGGGCAGAGGGAAUUUCCGGUGGAGCGGGUGAAAGUGACGUGAGAGAUCGGAAAGAACACCAACGGCGGAAAGCACUCUGGCUGGGCCGACACUGACACUGGAGAGACGAAAGCUAGGGGAGCGAACUGGG